UACGGGGGGGGCAAGCGUUGUUCGGAAUUACUGGGCGUAAAGGGCGCGUAGGCGGUUCGCUAAGUUGGAUGUGAAAACUCUGGGCUCAACCCAGAGCCUGCAUCCAAAACUGGCGGGCUAGAGUUCUGGAGGGGGUAGCGGAAUUCCUGGUGUAGCGGUGAAAUGCGUAGAUAUCAGGAGGAACACCGGUGGCGAAGGCGGCUACCUGGACAGAAACUGACGCUGAGGCGCGAAAGCAUGGGGAGCAAAAGGG
Molecule: ribosomal RNA, 253 nt
Filed under: uncultured bacterium
Lineage: Bacteria
Description: partial 16S ribosomal RNA
Rfam family: Bacterial small subunit ribosomal RNA
Source: RNAcentral